GUAGGUGGCAAGCGUUGUCCGGAAUUAUUGGGCGUAAAGCGCGCGCAGGCGGUUCUUUAAGUCUGAUGUGAAAGCCCAUGGCUCAACCGUGGAGGGUCAUUGGAAACUGGAGAACUUGAGUACAGAAGAGGAAAGCGGAAUUCCACGUGUAGCGGUGAAAUGCGUAGAGAUGUGGAGGAACACCAGUGGCGAAGGCGGCUUUCUGGUCUGUAACUGACGCUGAGGCGCGAAAGCGUGGGGGGAGCAAACAGGAUUAGAUACCCUGGUAGUCCACGCCGUAAACGAUGAGUGCUAAGUGUUAGGGGGUUUCCGCCCCCCCCUUAGUGCUGCAGCUAACGCAUUAAGCACUCCGCCUGGGGAGUACGGCCGCAAGGCUG
This 377-nucleotide ribosomal RNA is filed under the name uncultured organism. RNAcentral describes it as "partial 16S ribosomal RNA". It matches the Rfam family "Bacterial small subunit ribosomal RNA", at positions 527 to 896 of the family's 1533-position model. The record is from RNAcentral.